Molecule: small nuclear RNA, 103 nt
Organism: Otolemur garnettii (small-eared galago)
Lineage: Eukaryota; Metazoa; Chordata; Mammalia; Primates; Galagidae
Source: Ensembl
UUGCUUCAGCAGCACAUAUACUAAAAUUGGAACAAUACGGAGAAGAUUAGCAUGGCCCCUGCUCAAGGAUGACACGCAAAUUCAUGAAGCGUUCCAUAUUAAA